This 199-nucleotide ribosomal RNA is filed under the name uncultured bacterium. RNAcentral's name for it is "partial 16S ribosomal RNA". It matches the Rfam family "Bacterial small subunit ribosomal RNA", at positions 328 to 539 of the family's 1533-position model. The record is from RNAcentral.
ACGCUCGACACCUACGGGGGCAGCAGUGGGGAAUAUUGGGCAAUGGGCGCAAGCCUGACCCAGCAACGCCGCGUGAAGGAAGAAGGCUUUCGGGUUGUAAACUUCUUUUGUCAGGGAAGAGCAGAAGACGGUACCUGACGAAUAAGCCACGGCUAACUACGCGCCAGCAGCCGCGGUAAUCUGAGCGGGCUGGCAAGGC